UCCAAAUAUAUAAACACAAACUAGUCAAAUUAAUAAUGUAUCUCUAUGUAUUUUAAUUUCCCAAAGAAAAUGAGGGCUCAUUAUGACACAUACCUGCCAACACCUCUGUCCUCUGGAAGAGGUUUUCAGUGCGGACCUCAACGGCCUCCUGGGGUGAGCCGGGAGCACUAGUCGUACUAGUCAUCUGGUUCCUCUGCAGGUCCUCUGUAACUGGCACUGGUGCCUGCAUGAGGGGAAGGUGGGAGUGGGAAGAGGCAUGAGGGGGAGAAGGAAAAAGGAAGAAAUACAUUUAAGGGGAUCAAGGAUCAAGGUCAAGGAAAUCAAGUUAGUCUACUUCCAUAUUUCCCAUGUCAAACUAUCUUAUCUAUAUCACAGCUUUUUAUUAGUACUUCUUACUAAAGCCUGACCAAUAAAUCCUUCUUACCUCUGUUCUGAGUGGUUUCCUGGGUGUGCUGUCCCGGGCCCUUUCUCUGAUCGUGGCUGUUUCCACUCUGGGGGUGAAAUCUUUGGUGGAGUCCUGGGUGGGUUCUGCUGCAUUGGGCUUGAUAUAAACCAUACUGACAGUCACCGUUUCCUCCAUUGUGUCUUCACCUCCACCUGGGAGUAAGAGAGCAACAGGUUAAUAAUGUCUCUCCAAUAAAAGGACCGCAUGCAAAAUGUUUGCUCAAUAAAUCUUAUAUUACAGUAAUUAUGGUACAAUCCAUCACCGAAUGUGAACAUGCAGUCAAAAAAAAAUGUGAAAAUGAUAUUAGUAUGUGCAUGUACGUGCUGUAUGGACAUGCAUGUUAUGAAUAUUUUAUGUCCACAGUCAUACAGUUUGACUUACUUUCCACUCUGUGGCCUUAAUUGUAAUGUAUUAUUUACAGUUUGAAUCUCCGAUUGAAUACAGACUGGCAGAGCAGAGUAAUAGGGUGUGUAUACGAUAUUGGAAGGACUAUUGAUCACACUCGUUUCCUUUCACCUAGCAUGACCUUCUCUUACUGCAGUUACACAACUCUCUCAAAGAGAAGAGUUUCUUUUUGACAAAGGAAUGAGUGUUGUAAAGAGUGCUUAAAGCAAGUAGACUUGAAGAGCUAAUAAAAAAAAAAAGACAUGUAAAAUUUGCACACUUGCCCGCAGCGGUCUGGGU
Long non-coding RNA from Scatophagus argus, 1129 nucleotides. RefSeq lists it as uncharacterized. Lineage: Eukaryota; Metazoa; Chordata; Actinopteri; Scatophagidae. The transcript has 2 exons. The record is from RefSeq and is a predicted model, not a curated record.